Molecule: ribosomal RNA, 385 nt
Filed under: Chrysocapsa vernalis
Lineage: Eukaryota; Chrysophyceae; Chromulinales; Chrysocapsaceae
Description: partial small subunit ribosomal RNA
Rfam family: Eukaryotic small subunit ribosomal RNA
Source: RNAcentral
GCUUGUCUCAAAGAUUAAGCCAUGCAUGUCUUAGUGUAAAUAACUCUUAUGAAACUGCGAAUGGCUCAUUAUAUCAGUUAUAGUUUAUUUGAUGGUUCUUACUACUUGGAUAACCGUAGUAAUUCUAGAGCUAAUACAUGCAUCAACCCCCGACUUUUGAAGGGGUGUAUUUAUUAGAUGGAAACCAAUGCGGGGUAACCCGGAAUAUGGUGAUUCAUAAUAACUUUCGGAUCGAUUUAUCGAUGCAUCAUUCAAGUUUCUGCCCUAUCAGCUUUGGAUGGUAGGGUAUUGGCCUACCAUGGCUUUAACGGGUAACGGAGAAUUAGGGUUCGAUUCCGGAGAGGGAGCCUGAGAAACGGCUACCACAUCCAAGGAAGGCAGCAGG